RNAcentral lists this ribosomal RNA (1965 nucleotides) under Triticum aestivum (bread wheat). RNAcentral describes it as "partial small subunit ribosomal RNA". Lineage: Eukaryota; Viridiplantae; Streptophyta; Magnoliopsida; Poales; Poaceae. The record is from RNAcentral.
AUGGCGAUGGCGAAUCCCUCCGCGGCCGGUGCCCCAGGAAUCUGUAGCGACGCACUGUUCCGGGAGCUAUGGCAUGCUUGUGCCGGUCCGUUGAUCACAGUACCCAGACAAGGCGAACGAGUCUAUUACUUUCCCCAGGGUCAUAUGGAACAGCUUGAGGCAUCUACAAACCAGCAGCUUGACCAGUACCUGCCGAUGUUCAACCUACCAUCCAAAAUCCUAUGCAGCGUGGUCAACGUAGAGCUCCGGACGGAAGCUGAUUCAGAUGAAGUUUACGCUCAAAUUAUGCUGCAACCAGAGGCUAAUCAAGGUGAGCUCACAAGCUUGGGUCCUGAGCCAAAAGAACUCGAAAAAGGCACCAUACAUUCCUUUUGCAAGACACUGACAGCUUCGGAUACGAGUACCCAUGGUGGUUUCUCUGUUCUUAGGAGGCAUGCUGAAGAGUGUCUUCCUCCGCUGGACAUGUCUCAGAAUCCACCAUGUCAAGAACUGGUAGCCAAAGAUCUCCAUGGAACUGACUGGCAUUUUCGUCACAUAUUUCGGGGACAGCCUAGGCGACAUCUACUUACAACUGGCUGGAGUGUCUUUGUUAGCUCAAAAAGAUUGGUUGCUGGUGAUGCAUUUAUCUUUCUGAGAGGUGAAAAUGGUGAGUUGCGGGUUGGAGUAAGGAGGCAUAUGAGGCAAGUAAAUAACAUGCCAUCAUCUGUGAUAUCAAGCCACAGCAUGCAUCUUGGAGUCCUUGCAACAGCCUCCCAUGCAAUCUCCACUGGGACCCUCUUUUCUGUUUUCUAUAAACCCAGAACAAGUCAAUCUGAGUUUGUGGUGAGUGUUAACAAGUACCUUGAAGCGAAGAAGCAGAACAUUUCUGUUGGAAUGAGAUUUAAGAUGAAAUUUGAAGGCGAUGAAGCUCUUGAAAGAAGGUUCAGUGGAACAAUAAUUGGUAUUGGGAGCACGCCGACGGUGUCAACAUCUCUAUGGGCAGAUUCUGAUUGGAAAUCUCUGAAGGUCCAAUGGGAUGAGCCUUCAUCCAUUCUUCGUCCAGAUAGAGUUUCACCAUGGGAAUUGGAGCCACUGGAUGCAGCUAAUCCACAACCCCCUCAACCUCCACUGAGAAAUAAGCGUCCCCGACUUCCAGCUUCACCUUCUGUGGUUCCAGAACUUGCUCCAAAAUUUGGACUAUGGAAGUCCCCGGCUGAACCAAGCCAAACCCUCUCAUUUUCGGAGCCACAACAGGCUCGAGGGUUAUUUACUAAUUCACGCUUCUCAUCAUCAUCAAACGUUGCAUUCAAUCAGUUCUACUGGCCAGCAAGAGAAUCAAGAGAAGACUCUUAUGCUGGAAGUACUAACAAAGUCACUGUUGAAAGAAAGCUUGAACCAGCUGCUGGUGGUUGCAGAUUAUUUGGAAUUGAGAUAAGAUCUGCUGUGGAAGAAACACAACCCGUGCUAACUGUCUCAGGUGAUGGUUAUGACCAAACGGCUGCAUCUGUAGACGUGGACUCUGGCGAGCUCUCGCAGCCAUCCAAUAUGAACAACUCUGGUGCCCAAGCAGCAAGCAGUGAGCGUGCUCUUCUUGAGACCCAAAGUCGCCAAGUUAGAAGCUGCACAAAGGUAAUUAUGACAGGAAUGGCAGUUGGAAGAGCAGUGGACUUGACAAAGCUAUAUGGGUAUGUUGAUCUUCACCGCAAGUUGGAGGAGAUGUUUGAUAUACAGGGGGAGCUAUGUUCCACACUCAAGAAAUGGCAGGUUGUUUAUGCGGAUGAAGAGGAUGAUAUGAUGCUCGUUGGGGACGAUCCUUGGGACGAGUUUUGCAACAUGGCGAAAAGAAUUUACAUUUAUACAUAUGAGGAGGCCAAGCAGUUGGCACCAAAGGCCGCCAAGCUCAGCCGUGUGAACUCAUCACAUGAAUCGGCCACUCCGCAGAGUGGCUCAGACUACCCAGCCUCGUUUGCCAAUGCAGAUUGCUGA